CAGUCGCCGCGGGAAUACGUAUGUCGCGAGCGUUAUCCGGAAUUAUUGGGCAUAGAGGGCAUCUAGGCGGCCGGAUAAGUCUGGGGUGAAAACUUGCGGCUCAACCGCAAGCCUGCCCUGGAAACUAUGCGGCUAGAGUACUGGAGAGGUGGACGGAACUGCACGAGUAGAGGUGAAAUUCGUAGAUAUGUGCAGGAAUGCCGAUGAUGAAGAUAGUUCACUGGACGGUAACUGACGCUGAAGUGCGAAAGCUAGGGGAGCAAACAGGAUUAGAGACCCCCGUAGUCCCUGUCUCUUAUAA
This 301-nucleotide ribosomal RNA is filed under the name uncultured bacterium. Its description in RNAcentral is "partial 16S ribosomal RNA". It matches the Rfam family "Bacterial small subunit ribosomal RNA", at positions 509 to 809 of the family's 1533-position model. The record is from RNAcentral.